Callithrix jacchus (white-tufted-ear marmoset) is the source of this 154-nucleotide unclassified non-coding RNA. It matches the Rfam family "Metazoan signal recognition particle RNA". Rfam says of the family: The signal recognition particle (SRP) is a universally conserved ribonucleoprotein. It is involved in the co-translational targeting of proteins to membranes. NCBI's taxonomy places the organism in Eukaryota, Metazoa, Chordata, Mammalia, Primates, Cebidae. The record is from Ensembl.
GCUGGGCAUGGUGGCGCGUGCCUGUACUCCCAGCUACUUGGGAGGCUGAGGCAGGAGAAUUGCUUGAGCCAGGGAGGCGGAGGUUGCAGUAAGCCAAGAUUGUGCCACUGCACUCCAACCUGGCACCUGGCAACAGAGCAAGAUUCUGUCUCAA